UUUGCUCACACUCUAACCUGUUCAAAGGCGAAUCCUAACGACGUCAGCAAGCUGUCGUCACCAGGAUACCAAAGAGAAGCCAGGUGGAACAGCCCUAAAGGUAUUCGUUGCAAUCCUCAAUCCCGAUCACCACAUUCCGCUAAAGGUUAUAACACUCCCGAAGGAGCCACAUCCCUCCAGCCUUUUUAUGACGUUCGAAAUUGAUGUUAACCAGCGGACACGAAAGUGCUCCCCCUCAUCGUGAGACACAUGCUGUGGCGGUUUUGAGGCUCGCCACAACAUGGGUCUC
This 289-nucleotide ribosomal RNA is filed under the name uncultured Glomeromycotina. Its description in RNAcentral is "partial large subunit ribosomal RNA". The record is from RNAcentral. Lineage: Eukaryota; Fungi; Glomeromycota.